Molecule: ribosomal RNA, 301 nt
Filed under: uncultured bacterium
Lineage: Bacteria
Description: partial 16S ribosomal RNA
Rfam family: Bacterial small subunit ribosomal RNA
Source: RNAcentral
CAGCCCGCCGCGGUAAUACGAAGGGUGCAAGCGUUAAUCGGAAUUACUGGGCGUAAAGCGUGCGUAGGCGGUGAGUUAAGUCUGCUGUGAAAUCCCCGGGCUCAACCUGGGAAUGGCAGUGGAUACUGGCUCGCUAGAGUGUGUCAGAGGAUGGUGGAAUUCCCGGUGUAGCGGUGAAAUGCGUAGAGAUCGGGAGGAACAUCAGUGGCGAAGGCGGCCAUCUGGGACAACACUGACGCUGAGGCACGAAAGCGUGGGGAGCAAACAGGAUUAGAUACCCGAGUAGUCCCUGUCUCUUAUA